GAUGAACGCUAGCUACAGGCUUAACACAUGCAAGUCGAGGGGAAACGGCAUUGAGUGCUUGCACUCUUUGGACGUCGACCGGCGCACGGGUGAGUAACGCGUAUCCAACCUUCCCAUUACUGUGGGAUAACCUGCCGAAAGGCAGACUAAUACCGCAUAGUCUUCGAUGACGGCAUCAGAUUUGAAGUAAAGAUUUAUCGGUAAUGGAUGGGGAUGCGUCUGAUUAGCUUGUUGGCGGGGUAACGGCCCACCAAGGCGACGAUCAGUAGGGGUUCUGAGAGGAAGGUCCCCCACAUUGGAACUGAGACACGGUCCAAACUCCUACGGGAGGCAGCAGUGAGGAAUAUUGGUCAAUGGACGGAAGUCUGAACCAGCC
This 376-nucleotide ribosomal RNA is filed under the name Prevotella sp. oral taxon E10. RNAcentral describes it as "bacterial SSU rRNA". It matches the Rfam family "Bacterial small subunit ribosomal RNA", at positions 28 to 393 of the family's 1533-position model. The record is from RNAcentral. Lineage: Bacteria; Pseudomonadati; Bacteroidota; Bacteroidia; Bacteroidales; Prevotellaceae.